Non-coding RNA from Phrynosoma platyrhinos (Desert horned lizard), 71 nucleotides. Lineage: Eukaryota; Metazoa; Chordata; Lepidosauria; Squamata; Phrynosomatidae. The record is from the annotation of a GenBank genome assembly.
GCCAGCAUGGUGUAGUGGUUUGAGCACUGGACUAUGACUUCAGAGAGCAGGGUUUAAAUCCCAGUCAGACA